RNAcentral lists this ribosomal RNA (461 nucleotides) under uncultured bacterium. Its description in RNAcentral is "partial 16S ribosomal RNA". It matches the Rfam family "Bacterial small subunit ribosomal RNA", at positions 33 to 507 of the family's 1533-position model. The record is from RNAcentral.
AUACACGCUGGCGGCGUGCUUAACACAUGCAAGUCGAACGAAGUUUUUCUUUCGGGAGGAACUUAGUGGCGGACGGGUGAGUAACGCGUGGGUAACCUGCCCUGUACAGGGGGACAACAGCUGGAAACGGCUGCUAAUACCGCAUAAGCCCUUAGCACUGCAUGGUGCAUAGGGAAAAGGAGCAAUCCGGUACAGGAUGGACCCGCGUCUGAUUAGCCAGUUGGCAGGGUAACGACCUACCAAAGCGACGAUCAGUAGCCGAUCUGAGAGGAUGUACGGCCACAUUGGGACUGAGACACGGCCCAGACUCCUACGGGAGGCAGCAGUGGGGAAUAUUGCACAAUGGAGGAAACUCUGAUGCAGCGACGCCGCGUGAGUGAAGAAGUAUUUCGGUAUGUAAAGCUCUAUCAGCAGGAAAGAAAAUGACGGUACCUGACUAAGAAGCACCGGCUAAAUACGUG